Molecule: long non-coding RNA, 240 nt
Filed under: Bos taurus (domestic cattle)
Lineage: Eukaryota; Metazoa; Chordata; Mammalia; Artiodactyla; Bovidae
Description: long non-coding RNA NONBTAT002642
Source: RNAcentral
UGACCUUUCUCCCCUAUCAAGUGUUUCAGGAUUAUCAGGUCACAGUUUGUGCAUCAAAAGUCAGCCAGUUAUGGACAUUGUCAUCUCAAUAACUUUGUAAAACAAAAACAAAACUUGGCAUUGUUAAUUCUGAAAAAGAAACAGCAGUAAAAGAGUCGUAUGCAAUAUCAAACACAACAUGGUUUAGUGGAAUUAAUAGAUUUUUUUUUUUUUAAAGAACUUUAAUGGGGAUUCUAUGUA